GACGAACGCUGGCGGCGUGCCUAAUACAUGCAAGUGGGACGCAAGGAAACACACUGUGCUUGCACACCGUGUUUUCUUGAGUCGCGAACGGGUGAGUAACGCGUAGGUAACCUGCCUAUUAGCGGGGGAUAACUAUUGGAAACGAUAGCUAAUACCGCAUAAUAUUAAUUAUUGCAUGAUAAUUGAUUGAAAGAUGCAAGCGCAUCACUAGUAGAUGGACCUGCGUUGUAUUAGCUAGUUGGUAAGGUAAGAGCUUACCAAGGCGACGAUACAUAGCCGAGCUGAGAGGGUGAUCGGCCACACUGGGACUGAGACACGGCCCAGACUCCUACGGGAGGCAGCAGUAGGGAAUCUUCGGCAAUGGACGAAAGUCUGACCGAGCAACGCCGCGUGAGUGAAGAAGGUUUUCGGAUCGUAAAGCUCUGUUGUAAGUCAAGAACGUGUGUGAGAGUGGAAAGUUCACACAGUGACGGUAGCUUACCAGAAAGGGACGGCUAACUACGUG
RNAcentral lists this ribosomal RNA (505 nucleotides) under uncultured bacterium. RNAcentral describes it as "partial 16S ribosomal RNA". It matches the Rfam family "Bacterial small subunit ribosomal RNA", at positions 28 to 507 of the family's 1533-position model. The record is from RNAcentral.